UAGUCCACGCUGUAAACGAUGAGAACUAGAUGUUGGUAGGCAUGACCUAUUAGUAUCGAAGCUAACGCGAUAAGUUCUCCGCCUGGGGAGUACGGCCGCAAGGCUAAAACUCAAAGGAAUUGACGGGGGCCCGCACAAGCGGUGGAGCAUGUGGUUUAAUUCGAUGCAACGCGAAGAGCCUUACCUACCCUUGACAUCCAGAGGAUUUUGCAGAGAUGCGAAAGUGCCGAAAGGAACUUUGAGAC
RNAcentral lists this ribosomal RNA (245 nucleotides) under uncultured bacterium. Its description in RNAcentral is "partial 16S ribosomal RNA". It matches the Rfam family "Bacterial small subunit ribosomal RNA", at positions 791 to 1035 of the family's 1533-position model. The record is from RNAcentral.